This 252-nucleotide ribosomal RNA is filed under the name uncultured Bacteroidales bacterium. RNAcentral describes it as "partial 16S ribosomal RNA". It matches the Rfam family "Bacterial small subunit ribosomal RNA", at positions 524 to 776 of the family's 1533-position model. The record is from RNAcentral. Lineage: Bacteria; Pseudomonadati; Bacteroidota; Bacteroidia; Bacteroidales.
UACGGAGGAUGCGAGCGUUAUCCGGAUUUAUUGGGUUUAAAGGGUGCGCAGGCGGAGGUGCAAGUCAGCGGUCAAAUUGCGGGGCUCAACCCUGUCGAGCCGUCGGAACUGGCAGUCUUGAGUGGGCGAGAAGUAUGCGGAAUGCGUGGUGUAGCGGUGAAAUGCAUAGAUAUCACGCAGAACUCCGAUUGCGAAGGCAGCAUACCGGCGCGCAACUGACGCUCAUGCACGAAAGCGUGGGUAUCGAACAGG